RNAcentral lists this ribosomal RNA (407 nucleotides) under uncultured bacterium. Its description in RNAcentral is "bacterial SSU rRNA". It matches the Rfam family "Bacterial small subunit ribosomal RNA", at positions 355 to 776 of the family's 1533-position model. The record is from RNAcentral.
GGAAGAAUAUUGGUCAAUGGGGGGAACCCUGAACCAGCAAUGCCGCGUGAAGGAAGAAGGCCUUCGGGUUGUAAACUUCUGUGACGGGGGACGAAGAAAGUGACGGUACCCCGAGAGGAAGCCCCGGCAAACUACGUGCCAGCAGCCGCGGUAAUACGUAGGGGGCGAGCGUUGUCCGGAAUUACUGGGCGUAAAGCGCGCGUAGGCGGCGAUAUAAGUCGUCUGUGAAAGACCCGGGCUCAACCUGGGGAGUGCAGGCGAAACUAUAUUGCUUGAGUGCGGUAGAGGGAAGUGGAAUUCCUAGUGUAGCGGUGAAAUGCGCAGAUAUUAGGAGGAACACCAGUGGCGAAGGCGACUUUCUGGGCCGCAACUGACGCUGAUGCGCGAAAGCGUGGGGAGCAAACAGG